Long non-coding RNA from Lycium ferocissimum, 394 nucleotides. RefSeq lists it as uncharacterized. The record is from RefSeq and is a predicted model, not a curated record. NCBI's taxonomy places the organism in Eukaryota, Viridiplantae, Streptophyta, Magnoliopsida, Solanales, Solanaceae. The transcript has 2 exons.
CUCUCUCUCUCUUUAUUGAUGAAACAUCGCAGUAUACACUUGGUUCCAUGAACGCUCUUGUCUUUUGUUGUUUCCCCUCUCUACUGCAUGGUCAUUCAGGCCGAGGUCCAGCCACCUUAUUGGGCUAAAAGCCCAAUUGGGAAAAUCUCCUUCAAAUGUCUUCGGGUCCAAAAGGAAGAAAAGGAAGCUAAUAUAAUUGAAGGCCCAAUCAUGGGUAAGAAUAAUAUGAAGGCCCAGCCAUGGGUGAAAUGGGUUGGGGUUUGGUACACCCCACUUUAUUUUAUUCUAUUCCAUCGUAUUUCUGCUAUCAUUGGCUUGAUUGUAUUGUGCUUGCUAUUUGUAAACCCAUAAAUAUUAUUGGAACCUUUAUUAUGAAUUAGGCAUCUUAGGAAAA